CCUGUGUUAAAAUUUCUCUGCUAUACAAAACCUACCAUGAGCUGUAGCUCUCCUUUCUGUUAUGUACUCCUCUGAGCAUGUUUACUACUUAUGGCAAAGUAGUACUGAAUAUCUUGCUGUCAUGUUGGGUCACAGGGCAAACGAACAGCAAACAAAUGAGAAAGCAGAAGCAGAUCAAAACCAAGAGUCAGUGUAUGUAUGUCUGAUGUUGUACUGACUGGAAAUGAUUCCAAAAGUCAACAUAUCUCAUCAGAGAUCCCAGUGCCCGCACGUUGCUAUCUCAUGGUUUGCUCCCGAUGUUUGGAUUCAAGCAUCAAGAGUGCAGGAAAUGAAUUUCAGUAGAGCUGCAGUGAAAGUAGAACAAAGAGAUUGCAACAAACUUCCUGCCACAUACGAAAAACUUCUGCAAUAAUGGCCUUGUUUGCAUGACAUGAUUUUGAGGAAAACCCUUCAUAGCACGAGGGCAAAGUGUCAGUAGUUGAACACUUGGGCACCUCUCUAAGACCUAAGAUGUCUUGCACAACAGUAAGCCAGGGCCCCCAGCAUAAGAAAGACAUAGAACUGUGGGAGCAAGUCAAGAGGAGGGCUACAGAGGUGAUCAGAGGGGUAGGGCAACUUCCCUAUGAAGAAAGGCUGAGGGAUCUGGGCUUGUUUAGCUGGAGAAGAGAAGGCUAUGGGGAGACCUCACUGUGGCCUUCCAGUUCUUUAAAGGGAGCUUAACAACAGGAGGGAGUGCGACUUUUUUACAUGGCCUGAUAAUGAGAGGACAAGGAAGAAUGGUUUUAAACUAAAAAGGGGGAAACUCAUAGAUGUUCGGAGGUGUUUUUUACUCAGAGGGUGGUUAGGCACUGGAACACGUUGCUUUGAGAAGCUGUGGGUGCCCCAUCCCUGGAGGCAUUCAAGGCCAGGUUGGACGGGGCCCGGGGCAGUCUGAUCCGGUGGGUGGCAGCCCAGACCGUGGCAGGGGGCUGGAACUAGAUGAUCUUCAAAGUUCUUUCCAUCCCAAACCAUUCUAUGAUUCUAUGAUUCUCCGAAUACAUUUCUGUCUCUGUUUAUCCUAGCAAGAGAUUUUCCCCACAGACCUUCCCUACUAGUCUCUAAUGUCUCCUCCAAGAGGAUUGCAAUUAUUCUUAAAAGCAAAAACUAAGCAAUCUUUUAUUAUUAUUAUUAUUUUACCGAGAAAGAUUGGGUCCUCAACUACCGCCUAUCACAGCAGUGGGGUAUUUCACCCAGGGAAUAGAGGAGUUGUAGUUAUGCACUUCAGCCCCAGAAGAGGUUCAAAUGCACAUCUUCCCUAGGAUAAGAGAGCCCCAGCAACAAGCAAGAAGGAAUUCCUUCAGGCAGGGCUCUGAAGGCCCUUCCUCGCCAUUGCUCCUGGCACCUCUUCCUAGAUCCCACCACCCUACACAGAAAACAAAAGGACACUGAAACCACAACCACUUUGACCACCCACGGGGGAGACAGAAGUGCUCUGAGGGAAAUUCAAGAAGGAUCUUCGACCAGGCACCGCUGAAGCUAAGAUUUGUCAAGUCAUAACUUCAACGCUCUGCAGAGCGUUUGUUGUUUAAGACCGUAUACAGGAAAUCUGAGCAGUAAAUGUUCUCCAUCUUUGAUCAAUGCGCCAGCGUGCUGCUGUGAAGUGAAACAGCGUAGGCUGGCAGAUGAGAGUUUUCCCCAGGGGCAUUCUGUAGGGAAC
Molecule: long non-coding RNA, 1696 nt
Organism: Gallus gallus (chicken)
Lineage: Eukaryota; Metazoa; Chordata; Aves; Galliformes; Phasianidae
Source: Ensembl